RNAcentral lists this long non-coding RNA (517 nucleotides) under Dasypus novemcinctus (nine-banded armadillo). RNAcentral's name for it is "lncRNA (ENSDNOG00000052464.1)". The record is from RNAcentral. Lineage: Eukaryota; Metazoa; Chordata; Mammalia; Cingulata; Dasypodidae.
CGGUCCGACGGUGGAACCCACUCGGGGGCCGCGGGGCAGGAGGGCGAAUGGCUUCCACGCUCGGGGCUCAGGGGCUGGAGGAGAGGAAGCCUGAGGAGGAGGAGGAGGAAGGCCGGCGCAGGGUGACUGAUGCUGACCCAAGCCCCAGGAAGCCUCCGCUCUCCCUAGGGCGGGAAAGCAGCUUUGGGGGGUGUCAGGCCACACCCCUGUGAUGGAAACCCGUGUGGGGGGCCCCGACGCUGGGAUCAGGGAGCCCAAAGUGGCCAAGGUGUCGGGGCUCGCAGGGUUUGCUAGGGUCGGCAAGGCUGGAGGGGGCGGGGGGGAGUUUGCUGGGAGGGAGAGGAAAAAACUGCUCUCUAAACUCAGGCAGCAAAGUCCUGGCGCGCAAAUGGCUUUUCACUUCUCGAAGCUCGAGGCUCGCUACUGUGAACAAACCUUGAGGUUCGAAACAGCUGCAAAUAAUCAACUCCUGAGGCAGCUGCCGUCUGCAGACCUCCUGCACCGCCCAGGGAAGUGA